RNAcentral lists this long non-coding RNA (422 nucleotides) under Coturnix japonica (Japanese quail). Its description in RNAcentral is "lncRNA (ENSCJPG00005015621.1)". The record is from RNAcentral. Lineage: Eukaryota; Metazoa; Chordata; Aves; Galliformes; Phasianidae.
ACGACUGGGGGAAAUUUCAAUUGACCGUUCAUCAGAGUAAUUUUUGCUUCAUCUACCAACAGGCUGGAACUGGAAGGGAAGUUGAAAAGGGCCCAUGCAUCUGUGGAUGAGGGGAUCACAGCCUGUGGCAGAGCACCUCAGCUUCCCUCGCUCUUGGAUGUGUUCAUCACACUGAACCCACAGCCCCGUGUGGGAUGCAGACUAAUGCCCACUGCAUAUGUACCAACGAAGUUAUAGACACCAAGAGAGGAGAGAGUCACGGCUGGAAUGAUGUAUCUGCCCUGAGAGUGAAUGAUGGAUUUAAUGAACAAUAGAUGUCCAUCCCAAGCAAUACUGCAAGUUGGAUUUUCCUACAGAGAACAGUGAUUUGUAAUUACUUACCAGGGAAACUGCAGAUAUUGAUGUCUCAACUCAGCAGGCUG